AUUGAACGCUGGCGGCAGGCCUAACACAUGCAAGUCGAGCGGAUGAGGGGAGCUUGCUCCUGGAUUCAGCGGCGGACGGGUGAGUAAUGCCUAGGAAUCUGCCUGGUAGUGGGGGAUAACGUCCGGAAACGGGCGCUAAUACCGCAUACGUCCUGAGGGAGAAAGUGGGGGAUCUUCGGACCUCACGCUAUCAGAUGAGCCUAGGUCGGAUUAGCUAGUUGGUGGGGUAAAGGCCUACCAAGGCGACGAUCCGUAACUGGUCUGAGAGGAUGAUCAGUCACACUGGAACUGAGACACGGUCCAGACUCCUACGGGAGGCAGCAGUGGGGAAUAUUGGACAAUGGGCGAAAGCCCGAUCCAGCCAUGCCGCGUGUGUGAAGAAGGUCUUCGGAUUGUAAAGCACUUUAAGUUGGGAGGAAGGGCAGUAAGUUAAUACCUUGCUGUUUUGACGUUACCAACAGAAUAAGCACCGGCUAACUUCGUG
Molecule: ribosomal RNA, 484 nt
Filed under: uncultured bacterium
Lineage: Bacteria
Description: partial 16S ribosomal RNA
Rfam family: Bacterial small subunit ribosomal RNA
Source: RNAcentral